This 253-nucleotide ribosomal RNA is filed under the name uncultured bacterium. RNAcentral's name for it is "partial 16S ribosomal RNA". It matches the Rfam family "Bacterial small subunit ribosomal RNA", at positions 524 to 776 of the family's 1533-position model. The record is from RNAcentral.
GACAGAGGUUGCAAACGUUGUUCGGAAUUACUGGGCAUAAAGCGCACGUAGGCGGUCCGUUAAGUCAUGUGUGAAAUCCCCCGGCUCAACCGGGGAAUUGCGCCUGAUACUGGCGGGCUAGAGGUCGAUAGGGGUGAGCGGAACUCCAGGUGGAGCGGUGAAAUGCGUAGAUAUCUGGAAGAACACCGGUGGCGAAAGCGGCUCACUGGAUCGAAACUGACGCUGAGGUGCGAAAGCUAGGGUAGCAAACGGG